CGUUGCGCGGCGUGUGUCAGUACGUGUACGGCGAUAAGCUGUGUCGCGUUGUCGGCCUAUCGGGUGCAGCGGAGCGACCGUCUGGCGACGUGUUCUUAUCACCAGCCGCGAUCGAAUCGUCCGCGAUUAAGAUAACGCGCUUGCGAAACCCUCGCGCUCGUAACGAGACAUAUCCGGUGAUGCGCGAAUUUUGAAAGCGGGCCAAACAUAGAGGGAAACAACGCGGCGCAGUCGCGACCCGAAGACGCGAUCGCGUAACGUACUCGAUGUGCUCGCGCGUUUUCCUUCCACGGAGAAGAGAUCCCGGAUUGAUGAUCCUCGCGCCGCGAGUUACCUCCCGUUCGUGACUCGUCCUCGUCAUCGGUUUCCCACGAGUUUCCUCGCCGACAGGGAUCGCCGAUUUUUCCGACGCGCGACGGAGAUGUAAGCUCGACGCGACGAGUUUCGGAGGAGACGCCAUCCGUUUCAAACGAGGCCACGUGGACCACGUUGGGAGCCAGGAAAAAUAUGUGCCAGCAUGUCCGAGGACGACGCGCAGGAAGCAGCCAGCGAGGAGAUCGAGAAACAGGGAUCCCUUUAUGUGUUCCCGGGUACGGGCCGCCCCAGCCGCGCAACAUCGUCGUCAUCGUCGGCAUCGAUGGCGCCCCUUCAGCCACCACUGUCGUCUUUCCCUCACGGUGGCGAUCCAACCAUGAUGAGCACGACGAUGACAACCAGCACCACGACGACGAUAACAUCCACGCCGACGAAGAUGAGCAACGGCGACGAGGACGAGGACGCCGUAGAGGAAGUCACCUCGCCGAGCAGAAGAAGACCUCUGCCGAAAACGCACGCGAGAUCGGCGAGCCAUGGUGGUGUCCUGGCGGAUUGCACGACCGGACGGCAGACCUACGGGUCUUUUCUGGGUCCGCUGACGACGGUGGGAAGCGCCACGUCCGCGGGUCGACCAUCGGCGCUGAAGAAGCCGGGUCAUCAGAGAGCCUUCAGCCAGGGUCAGGUGGCGGACGUGACGCAAAGCCAGUCAGCCGUAACGGGACAUCAUCGCGUCGGCUCCAGAACGGAUUUCAUCUUGCCGCCGGGCCACAGGGAGGAGGGCAGACCGCCUACUGCCGGCAGGAUGCCUUCCUUUCGCGGUCAUUCUCGCCAGGCGUCCAGAUCGGAGUCUAUCUAUACGAUAAGACGUAGCGUCGUGCCCCCCUGGUGGAGAAGACUAUGGGCCUAUUGUUUCGGUUCAUUGCCGGAAGAGCCCCGUCUAAGGACAAUAGUGCCGAAUCACUUAGUCUCCCCGAAAACACCGAAGAGUCAGCAUCCCAAUGGGUAUAGGACGGACAACAGGGUACGCACAACAAAGUAUACGGCGCUGAGCUUCCUACCUCGUAACCUGCUGGAGCAGUUUCAUCGUGUGGCUAAUCUAUAUUUCAUCUUCAUCGUUCUACUUAAUUGGGUGCCGGCCAUAAAUGCUUUUGGCAAGGAAGUCGCUAUGAUCCCCGUCUUGUUCGUUCUUGGGGUUACAGCGCUUAAGGACUUCUUCGAAGAUCGUCGGCGUCUCGCCAGUGACCGGCGUGUGAAUAAUUCCACCUGCCGCGUCUACGUUAGCGAAGGCGACAGAUACAUGAAGGUGGCGUGGAAGGAUGUCAAGGUGGGCGACCUGGUUCACCUCUCGAACAACGAACUGGUACCGGCCGAUCUUUUGCUUCUGAGAAGCAGCGAUCCUCAGGGAUUAGCUUAUCUCGAUACGUGCAACCUUGAUGGUGAAACGAAUCUGAAGCAGCGUCAGGUUAUCAGGGGUUUCCUCGAUCUGCAGGAUACUUUCCAGCCUUCCAAGUUCCGGUCGGUGGUUGAAGUCGAUCAGCCAAGUACUAGAAUAUAUAGGUUUCAUGGCGCCGUAGUGCACCCGAACGGUGGCAGAGUACCCGUGUCCACGGAAAAUCUUUUGCUCAGGGAAUGUGUUUUAAAGAACACCGACUUCGUCGAGGGUAUAGUCAUAUACGCUGGUCAUGAGACUAAAGCAUUGCUGAACAACGGUGGACCCAGAUACAAGCGUUCCCGUCUGGAGAAGCAGAUGAACAGGGACGUGAAAUGGUGCGUUGUGAUAUUGCUGGUGCUAUGCGUGUUCGGUGCGAUCGGUUGCCGUUUUUGGUUGUCCACGUACACGGGUUUGACGAUGGUACCGUUUCUGCCGGUGGUGCAGGAGCCAGUCUACGAGAGUAUACUGACCUUCCUGACCUUCGUUAUAAUAUUUCAAGUGAUGAUACCGCUGAGUCUAUACGUGACGAUCGAGAUGGCCAAGGUGGGACAGGUGUAUCAUAUCGGCCACGACCCGGCCCUCCACGACACGGAAACCGGUCGUAAGGCGGAAUGCCGCGCGCUGAAUAUCACGGAGGAAUUAGGUCAAGUGCAAUAUGUUUUUUCCGACAAAACUGGCACUCUCACGGAAAACAAAAUGCUAUUCAGGCGAUGCGUAGUAAGCAACCAGGAUUAUUCGCACAUAGGCGACAAUGAGAAUCUGCUUCCGUGCUCGCGGCUUAAGGAGGACCUCCUCAUAAGUACAUUUCGACACCGUUUACAAGAAUUUCUUAUUGUUUUGGCCACGUGCAAUACGGUUGUUGUAAAUUCUCAACCGCAUCACGAUAACAUGAACUCUAGCGGAGUCAUCGAAGAACCUCAAAAAAAUGGAACUCGGGCUGCAAGAAUAACAGAGGAUACUAAUUCAUUUCCGACCGUUAAUUCCCCGCCGAUACCGAUAUCUCCGAACAGUAGAAAUCCCCGCACCUUAUCUCCAGUAUCACCUGUGAUCAGCACGACAAAUACGUUUGAUGACACAUCAAAAUUUCCGUUUAAACUUUCCAGGCCAAAGUUGCUAAAUGUAACGUCGAUACCGAGUCUAGGGAUCGGUUUAUUGGGACGAAAACUUUCACCAGAUGGCCAAAAGAGACGUAGUCCGGACACAAAAAACAGCGAUGAAUUAUUACAAAGUCUAGCGAUCUACGAAGCGGAAAGUCCUGAUGAGUUGGCGCUAGUACACGCGGCACGUGCUUACGACGUCAAGCUAGUGAAACGAACGCCUCGCAGUGCAAUCGUUUCUUUUCCAGACAAAUCAACGGUCGCGUUCGAAAUACUUCACGUACUACCAUUUGAUUCGAAUAGAAAAUGUAUGUCGGUGCUACUCAGGCAUCCUCAUACCGGCGAGAUAGUAUUAUACAGCAAGGGUGCCGACACGACGAUAUUACCAGCGUUGUCGCCGAAUGAAGAGAACACCGUCUCCUCGGCAAGUAUUCGACAAUAUCUGCAGUCGUACGCGCGUCAAGGGUUGCGUACCCUGGUGAUGGCAAGGAGGACAUUGACAUCACAAGAAUAUGAGAUAUGGCGAGAGAAGCACGAUGAGGCGGAACUGGCGACGGAGAACCGUGAACGUCGUAUACGCGAUUCGUACGCGACGUUGGAGUCGCACUUAACGCUGCUGGGAGCGACCGGUAUCGAGGACAAAUUGCAAGUUGGCGUGCCCGAGACAAUGGCCGCUCUAGUCGCCGCCGGAAUCGUCGUGUGGGUUCUGACAGGAGAUAAGCCAGAGACUGCGGUGAACGUGGCAUACUCGGCGCGACUCUUCUCGCCAGCCAUGCAGCUGCUGCAGUUGCAGGCGAGAUCGAAAUCCAUUGCUGAGACGCUCAUACGCGGCUAUCUGGAGUCGGCGCACAAAGAGAGUGCAAACAAUGGUCAUUCGCAGCAACCAGGCAUGAUUGCCGAUCCCGUCGGUAUAUAUCCGAAUCGCGAUUCCACCGAGAGAGAUGCCCAUAGAAUCGGCAGUCCGUGGCCACGGCAACGCGCGCUCGUCGUGGACGGUAAGACGUUGACCGUGAUCCUGGAUCCACGAUCAGGUUUGACCGGCCCGUUCCUCGAACUCACGAAAACGUGUUCCAGCGUCUUAGCCUGCCGCGCCACACCGUUGCAAAAGGCAUAUAUAGUUCGCAUCGUUAAAAAACAAUUGGGAAUGAGAACGUUAGCGAUCGGCGAUGGCGCAAAUGAUGUUAGUAUGAUACAGACCGCCGAUGUGGGCGUCGGUAUCUCGGGGCAAGAAGGUACGCAGGCAGUGAUGGCGGCGGAUUUCGCGAUUUCACGAUUUUCCAUUCUCAGUCGGCUCCUCCUUCUGCAUGGGCACUGGUGUUAUGACCGUCUCGCCAGAAUGAUUUUGUAUUUCUUUUACAAGAAUGCAACUUUCGUCUUCCUCGUGUUCUGGUUUCAGUUAUAUUGCGGUUUCUCCGGUGCCGUAAUGAUAGAUCAAAUAUAUUUAAUGCUAUACAACUUGCUGUUCACUUCGCUGCCACCUCUAGCUUUGGGCAUAUACGAUCGAAUCGCUGCGCCUCGCGUGUUACUUUCAGCACCGGAAUUGUACACAAGAGGACGUCUGGGACUAGUUUAUCAGCCGCACUCGUUUUGGCUCACAAUCAGCGAUGCUCUUUACCAAAGUCUUAUUAUUUUCUUUAUUACCAAAGAGGUUUAUCAUGAUUCGAUUAUCGAUAUAUGGGAAUUUGGGACGACUAUUAUGACAGCGUGCAUCGUUGUCAUGCUGCUUCAUGCUGCCAUAGAAAUUAAAUCUUGGACUAUAAUUCACAUUGGUGCCAUCUUGGGUUCCUUGGGCAUAUUCUUUGGAUUUUGCCUUUUUUAUAAUGCCGUCUGCGUUAAUUGCAUGGGUUUACCCGGAUCCUUCUGGGUAAUGGAAAAAGUCAUUACGCGUCAUACGUACUGGUUCACUGUAGUACUUACGUCUGUCCUCGCACUAAUGCCUAGUCUAUAAGGCGAUACAAUCCACAAUCGCACCAGACGCUAUACAAGUCAUCUCGCAGCAAAUUGUCGCAAAAGGCGGUAAUCAAAUUCGUCGGCAGCGUAUCAGCAGUCAAAGAGGCGAAAUUAAUUUUAUUGCUGGAUGGUCACGUUCCUCGCAGCAUGCUACCAUCAGACCCGGCAGCUACAGAAG
Molecule: unclassified non-coding RNA, 4972 nt
Filed under: Camponotus floridanus (Florida carpenter ant)
Lineage: Eukaryota; Metazoa; Arthropoda; Insecta; Hymenoptera; Formicidae
Description: probable phospholipid-transporting ATPase VD, transcript variant X2
Source: RNAcentral